AGGCAAACCUAGGGAACUGAAACAUCUAAGUACCUAGAGGAAAAGAAAUCAAUUGAGAUUCCGGUAGUAGCGGCGAGCGAAACCGGAUCAGCCCUUAAGCUUAAUUUAGUUCAGCAAAAUAUUCUGGAAAGUUUAGCCAUAGUAGGUGAUAGCCCUGUAUGUGAAAGACUAAUUUAAGUGAAAUCGAGUAGGUCGGGACACGUGAAAUCUUGACUGAAUAUGGGGGGACCAUCCUCCAAGGCUAAAUACUCUAUGCUGACCGAUAGUGAACCAGUACCGUGAGGGAAAGGCGAAAAGAACCCCGGCGAGGGGAGUGAAAUAGAACCUGAAAUCUUGUGCUUACAAGCAGUCGGAGCAGACUUGUUCUGUGACGGCGUACCUUUUGUAUAAUGGGUCAACGACUUAAUUUCAGUAGCAAGCUUAACCAAUUAGGGAAGGCGUAGGGAAACCGAGUCUUAAUAGGGCGUUCAGUUGCUGGGAUUAGACCCGAAACCGGGUGAUCUAUCCAUGGCCAGUGUGAAGGUCGAGUAACAUCGACUGGAGGCGCGAACCCACUUAUGUUGAAAAAUGAGGGGAUGAGCUGUGGAUAGGAGUGAAAGGCUAAUCAAACCCGGAGAUAGCUGGUUCUCUUCGAAAACUAUUUAGGUAGUGCCUCGUGUAUUACCAUAGGGGGUAGAGCACUGUUUCGGCUAGGGGGUCAUCCCGACUUACCAAACCGAUGCAAACUCCGAAUACCUAUGAGUAUGAGCACGGGAGACAGACUGCGGGUGCUAACGUCCGUAGUCGAGAGGGAAACAACCCAGACUGUCAGCUAAGGUCCCUAAUUAUGAUUAAGUGGGAAACAAUGUGGGAAGGCACAAACAGCUAGGAGGUUGGCUUAGAAGCAGCCACCCUUUAAAGAAAGCGUAAUAGCUCACUAGUCGAGUCGGCCUGCGUGGAAGAUAUAACGGGGCUAAAUCAUAAACCGAAGCUACAGAUCUUGUUUCAAGAUGGUAGGAGAGCGUUCUGUAAGCCACUGAAGGUAAGCUGAGAGGCGAACUGGAGGUAUCAGAAGUGCGAAUGUUGACAUGAGUAACGAUCAAAGAGGUGAAAAACCUCUUCGCCGAAAAACCAAGGGUUCCUGUCCAACGCUAAUCGAGGCAGGGUGAGUCGGCCCCUAAGGCGAGGGCGAAAGCCGUAGUCGAUGGGAAACAGGUUAAUAUUCCUGUACUUUUUACAAUUGCGAUGGGGUGACGGAGAAGGUUAAGUCAGCACGGCGAUGGUUGUCCGUGUUUAAGGUUGUAGGCCGAUGUUUUAGGUAAAUCCGAAAUAUCAAAGCUGAGAACUGAUGACGAUCACUUUUAAGUGAGAAGUGGCUGAUACCAUGCUUCCAGGAAAAACCUCUAAGCUUAAAUUGUAAGAAACCGUACCCUAAACCGACACAGGUGGUUAGGUCGAGUAGACCAAGGUGUUUGAGAGAACUAUGGUGAAGGAACUAGGCAAAAUAGCACCGUAACUUCGGGAGAAGGUGCGCCGCGGUUAGUGAUGAGACUUGCUCUCUAAGCUGAACGUGGUCGAAGAUACCAGGUGGCUGCGACUGUUUACUAAAAACAUAGCACUCUGCAAACUCGUAAGAGGACGUAUAGGGUGUGACGCCUGCCCGGUGCCGGAAGGUUAAUUGAUGGGGUUAGCUUAUGCGAAGCUCUUGAUCGAAGCCCCGGUAAACGGCGGCCGUAACUAUAACGGUCCUAAGGUAGCGAAAUUCCUUGUCGGGUAAGUUCCGACCUGCACGAAUGGCGUAACGAUGGCCACACUGUCUCCACCCAAGACUCAGUGAAAUUGAAAUCGCUGUUAAGAUGCAGUGUACCCGCGGCUAGACGGAAAGACCCCGUGAACCUUUACUAUAGCUUCACACUGGACUUUGACUUUAUUUGUGUAGGAUAGCUGGGAGGCUUUGAACUAUGGACGCCAGUUCAUAGGGAGCCGACCUUGAAAUACCAGCCUGGUAACGUUGAGGUUCUAACCUAGGUCCAUUAUCUGGAUCGGGGACAGUGUGUGGUGGGUAGUUUGACUGGGGCGGUCUCCUCCCAAAGAGUAACGGAGGAGCACGAAGGUGCGCUAAUCACGGUCGGAAAUCGUGAGGUUAGUGUAAAGGCACAAGCGCGCUUGACUGCGAGUCUGACAAGACGAGCAGGUACGAAAGUAGGUCUUAGUGAUCCGGUGGUUCUGUAUGGAAGGGCCAUCGCUCAACGGAUAAAAGGUACU
RNAcentral lists this ribosomal RNA (2244 nucleotides) under marine metagenome. Its description in RNAcentral is "bacterial LSU rRNA". It matches the Rfam family "Bacterial large subunit ribosomal RNA", at positions 177 to 2467 of the family's 2925-position model. The record is from RNAcentral.